AAUUACUGGGCGUAAAAGCGUGCGCAGGGCGGUUGUGCAUGUCCGAUGUGAAAAGCCCCGGGCUUAACCCUGGGAACGGCAUUGGAGUGUGCACGGCUUAGAGUGCGUGAGAGGGGGGGUAGAAUUCCAUGUGUAGCAGUGAAAUGUGUAGAGAUGUGGAGGAAUCACCAUGGCGAAGGCAGCCCCCUGGGAUGACACUGACGCUCAUGCAUGAAAGCGUGGGGAGCAAACAAGAUUAGAUACCCUGGUUGUUCACGCCCUAAAAGAUGUCAACUAGCUGUUGGGGGUUCGAAUACUUGGUAGCGUAGCUAACGCCUGAAGUCGACCGCCUGGGGAGUACGGCCGCAAGGUUAAAACUCAAAGGAAUUGACGGGGAGCCGCACAAGCGGUGGAUGAUGUGGAUUAAUUUGAUGCAACGCGAAAAACCUUACCUACCCUUGACAUGUCCGGAAUCCCCUCGAGAGGCGGGAGUGCCCUAAAGGGAGCCGGAACACAGGUGUGGCAUGGCUGUCGUCAGCUCGUGUCGUGAGAUGUUGGGUUAAGUCCCGCAACGAGCGCAACCCUUGUCUUUAGUUGCCAUCAUUUGGUUGGGCACUUUAAUGAGACUGCCGGUGACAAACCGGAGGAAGGUGGGGAUGACGUCAAGUCCUCAUGGCCCUUAUGGGUAGGGCUUCACACGUCAUACAAUGGUCGGUACAGAGGGUCGCCAAGCCGCGAGGGGGAGCCAAUCUCAUAAAACCGAUCGUAGUUCGGAUCGCACUCUGCAACUCGAGUGCGUGAAGUUGGAAUCGCUAGUAAUCGCGGAUCAGCAUGCGCGGUGAAUAUUUUUUUUUUUCUUUACACACCGCUAAUCACAACCAAGGCAAUCGUAGAUUUUGAUCGUGGCUCGAGUAAGUCGUAACUAAUGGCUUAAG
RNAcentral lists this ribosomal RNA (914 nucleotides) under Pseudogulbenkiania subflava. Its description in RNAcentral is "bacterial SSU rRNA". It matches the Rfam family "Bacterial small subunit ribosomal RNA", at positions 549 to 1533 of the family's 1533-position model. The record is from RNAcentral. Lineage: Bacteria; Pseudomonadati; Pseudomonadota; Betaproteobacteria; Neisseriales; Chromobacteriaceae.